This 92-nucleotide ribosomal RNA is filed under the name Amphilophus citrinellus (Midas cichlid). Lineage: Eukaryota; Metazoa; Chordata; Actinopteri; Cichliformes; Cichlidae. The record is from RNAcentral.
ACUUACAGCCAUACCACCCUUAGCAUGCCCAACCUUGCCUCAUCUCGGAAACUAAGCAGGGUUGGGAUGGGAGACCACCAUCACUGGGAAUA